RNAcentral lists this ribosomal RNA (253 nucleotides) under uncultured bacterium. RNAcentral describes it as "partial 16S ribosomal RNA". It matches the Rfam family "Bacterial small subunit ribosomal RNA", at positions 524 to 776 of the family's 1533-position model. The record is from RNAcentral.
UACGGAAGGGGCAAGCGUUGUUCGGAAUCAUUGGGCGUAAAGGGCGCGUAGGUGGUCUUGUAUGUCUACCGUGAAAGCGUACGGCUCAACCGUAUUUUGUCGGUAGAAACUGCAGGACUUGAGGCUGGGAGGGGCUGGCGGAAUUCCCUGUGUAGCGGUGAAAUGCGCAGAUAUCAGGAGGAACACCGAUGGCGAAGGCAGGUCUCUGGGCCAUAACUGACGCUGAGAAGCGAAAGCAUGGGGAGCGAACAGG